UAAUAGCGUAUAUUAAAGUUGUUGCAGUUAAAAAGCUCGUAGUCGAAUCUUGGGGUCGGGCAGGCUAUCGGCCUAGUGUCGGAUGGUCAACUCGGCUCUUUCUUUCUGGGGACUGCGUCCCUUUAAUUAGGGGCGUAUGGACGCAGAUCGUUUACUUUGAAAAAAUUAGAGUGUUCAAAGCAAGCCAUCGCUUGAAUACAUUAGCAUGGAAUAAUGGAAUAGGACUGCGGUUCUAUUUUGUUGGUUUCUAGGACCGAAGUAAUGAUUAAUAGGGACAGUUGGGGCCGUUUAUAUUCCGUUGUCAGAGGUGAAAUUCUUGGAUUUACGGAAGAUAAACUUCUGCGAAAGCAUUCGGCAAGGAUGUUUUCAUUGA
RNAcentral lists this ribosomal RNA (373 nucleotides) under uncultured eukaryote. RNAcentral describes it as "partial 18S ribosomal RNA". It matches the Rfam family "Eukaryotic small subunit ribosomal RNA", at positions 592 to 976 of the family's 1831-position model. The record is from RNAcentral.